This 206-nucleotide ribosomal RNA is filed under the name uncultured bacterium. RNAcentral's name for it is "partial 16S ribosomal RNA". It matches the Rfam family "Bacterial small subunit ribosomal RNA", at positions 524 to 729 of the family's 1533-position model. The record is from RNAcentral.
UACGUAGGUGGCAAGCGUUGUCCGGAUUUAUUGGGUUUAAAGGGUGCGUAGGCGGUCUUAUAAGUCAGUGCUGAAAUAUCCCGGCUUAACCGGGAGGGUGGCAUUGAUACUGUAGGACUUGAGUAAAGUUGAGGUUGGCGGAAUUGACGGUGUAGCGGUGAAAUGCUUAGAUAUCGUCAAGAACACCGAUAGUGUAGACAGCUAAC